Molecule: ribosomal RNA, 492 nt
Filed under: uncultured bacterium
Lineage: Bacteria
Description: partial 16S ribosomal RNA
Rfam family: Bacterial small subunit ribosomal RNA
Source: RNAcentral
GAUGAACGCUAGCUACAGGCUUAACACAUGCAAGUCGAGGGGAAACGGCAUUAAGUGCUUGCACUUUUUGGACGUCGACCGGCGCACGGGUGAGUAACGCGUAUCCAACCUUCCCAUGACUAAGGGAUAACCUGCCGAAAGGCAGACUAAUACCUUAUGGUCUUCACUGACGGCAUCAGAUGUGAAGUAAAGAUUUAUCGGUUAUGGAUGGGGAUGCGUCUGAUUAGCUUGUUGGCGGGGUAACGGCCCACCAAGGCAACGAUCAGUAGGGGUUCUGAGAGGAAGGUCCCCCACAUUGGAACUGAGACACGGUCCAAACUCCUACGGGAGGCAGCAGUGAGGAAUAUUGGUCAAUGGGCGAGAGCCUGAACCAGCCAAGUAGCGUGCAGGAUGACGGCCCUAUGGGUUGUAAACUGCUUUUGUAUGGGGAUAAAGUCAAUCACGUGUGAUUGUUUGCAGGUACCAUACGAAUAAGAACCGGCUAAUUCCGUG